Molecule: ribosomal RNA, 487 nt
Filed under: Halapricum sp. CBA1109
Lineage: Archaea; Methanobacteriati; Methanobacteriota; Halobacteria; Halobacteriales; Haloarculaceae
Description: partial 23S ribosomal RNA
Rfam family: Archaeal large subunit ribosomal RNA
Source: RNAcentral
GCUACUAUGCCAGCUGGUGGAUAGCUCGGCUCGGGUGCCGACGAAGGACGUGCCAAGCUGCGAUAAGCUCAGGGGAGCCGCACGGAGGUGAAGAACCUGAGAUUUCCGAAUGGGAACUCCUCAACGCAAUUGCUUCGCGCAAUGGGGAACGCCGAGAACUGAAACAUCUCAGUAUCGGCAGGAAGAGAAAACGAAUGUGAUGUCGUUAGUAACCGCGAGUGAACGCGAUACAGUCCAAACCGAAGCCUUCACGGGCAAUGUGGUGUACGGGCUGGCACUCAUCGACCGACCGUCUUCGAGAAGUCUCCUGGAACGGAGCGUGAUACAGGGUGACAACCCCGUAUCGAAGACCACUACGUCGUGCGCCAGUACCAGAGUAGCGGGGGUUGGGAAAUUCCUCCGUGAAUGUGGCAGGCAUCUACUGUCAAGACUAAAAUACUACCCGAGACCGAUAGUGAACAAGUUAAGCGUGAGCGAACGCUGAAAA